RNAcentral lists this ribosomal RNA (403 nucleotides) under uncultured bacterium. RNAcentral's name for it is "bacterial SSU rRNA". It matches the Rfam family "Bacterial small subunit ribosomal RNA", at positions 355 to 774 of the family's 1533-position model. The record is from RNAcentral.
UGAGGGAUAUUGGGCAAUGGGCGCAAGCCUGACCCAGCGACGCCGCGUGGAGGACGACGGGCUUCGGCUCGUAAACUCCUUUUCCCGGGGACGAGACAAGGACGGUACCCGGGGAAUAAGUCUCGGCUAACUACGUGCCAGCAGCCGCGGUAAUACGUAGGAGGCAAGCGUUAUCCGGAAUUACUGGGUUUAAAGGGUGCGUAGGUGGGCUUAUAAGUCAGUGGUGAAAUCUCCAAGCUUAACUUGGAAACUGCCGUUGAUACUAUAGGUCUUGAAUUAUCUGGAGGUAAGCGGAAUAUGUCAUGUAGCGGUGAAAUGCUUAGAUAUGACAUAGAACACCAAUUGCGAAGGCAGCUUACUACAUAUAAAUUGACGCUGAGGCACGAAGCGUGGGGAUCAAACA